UUUGGAGCUUGGAGACCCCGGUCCUGACAGCUUCCCUCCCCGCUCUCUUUUCUUUCAGCUCUGCAGUCCUUCAUCCAAGCCUACGCCACCUACCCCAGGGAGCUGAAGCACAUCUUCCACGUCCGAUCCCUCCACCUUGGGCAUGUGGCGAAGAGCUUCGGACUAAGAGAUGCCCCCAGGAAUCUUAGUGCCUUGACUAGAAAGAAGAGGAAAGCACACGUGAAAAGGCCUGACCUUCAUAAGAAGACCCAGAGUAAACACAGCCUCGCUGAAAUCCUACGUUCGGAAUACUCAAGCGGCAUGGAGGCCGACAUCGCCAAGGUCAAAAAGCAAAACGCACCUGGAGAGCCUGGUGGCCGGCCCCUGCAGCACAGUCUGCAGCCGACACCCUGCUUUGGCCGUGGGAAAACAUUAAAAUGGAGAAAAACCCAAAAAGGUGUACAGCGGGACAGCAAGACUUCCCAGAAAGUUUAAAAUCUCUCUGGGUCUUCGAGUGGAACCUGGAAGCCCCGGGUGGCAGUGGAUUGAUGUCCAGUUCUUGUCAGAGGAGGCUUGUGAAAAAUAACUGCGCCUUUGCCUGAAUACCACGUCCCCAAGAAUCAGAGGGGCCACAGCCCUUCUCCUCCAUGGGAGGCCCUGGAGCCUGAUAGAAAUCAGUGGUGUGGGGCACUGUAGAGACUAGCCAGCUCCCGACGGAAGGGGUCUGUGUCUUGUAUUGAUCCCAUCAGUGCCCGGCACUCCCUUCACCCAGGUGCUGACGUGCCGGGGUUGAGCUGGCACCCCGGGAUGUGAUGUAAGAACGCCCUGCGCGUCAGCCUGGAACGGGCUUGAUUGCUGCCCUUAACUGUGUUCUGAAGUUUCACAGCUUGGCUUCAGCCUAUCAGCGCAUACAUUGGCAUGAAUUUUGUGAAUUAGGGUGUUAAAAACUGGAAUUGAAUUUGUACAAAAAGAGAAUAUAUUUAUCACUAAUUAUUUUCUUAAUGUAGGAAUGUACCGUUAAAAAGGACCAAAAGUUUUUGGUCUGGGUCAAAAAAUACGAAUGUGUUCUCAGGCUCGUGGUCCCUCUUAUUUUCUUCUGGAAACACGAGGUUGCAUUUACAUGCAUUGCUCCCUCUUUCAUGUCCACUGAAAACUCACUCUCUCAGGGCUAAUUGAUUUACUGUUGGCUUUUUAUUAUUUGCCUUUGAAGUCAAAAGGCACCAGUAUCCCAAGCUUUUUUUCCCUAUCGAAUCCUGUCUUGUCUUCAAGAAAGGUCUGGGGGUCUUUGUAUUGUGACCCAGGCCACAGCUGCCCGCCCCCCGCCCCCGACCCACCCCGCCCUGCCCCUGCAUUGUGUUUUCUGGGAGGUUUGAAAGAGGCCCCCUGGAGCAUAUUGAUUUCCCAAUAAAUGUAAGAUUUGGGCACUUGCAGAGGGGUCCAGAAGAGAAAGGGUUGGAGGCCUCCACACCUGUGGGCACCGCUCCUGUCCUCUCCACUGUGUCUUGCCUUCUCAGUUUCCUUCUCCUCUGCAGUGACUGUGCCGCCCUCUGUGGUCUCCCCAGGACCAGUGUUGAGGCACCACUUCAGUAGAUCCCCCCAGAUCCUUGGAAGGUCUGAGUGGCCACGAGAGGGUGGUGAGAGUUGGCAAGGUGGGCCUUCCUGCAGGGACCACGGGGGGUCAGCAUCCUUGCCUCCGUUCUAGACACAGGUGAAUGUCAGUGGGCACCCACACUGGCGGAGACUCCAGUGUGAGGGCAAGGAGGAGCCUAGUGAGACUGGAUCCUCUGCAGGUGGAAAAAUAGGACCUUCUCAGAGUUGGCUGUCACAUACAAAUUAACAGGGACUGUGGGUGACGUUUCUAACAAUAAUAAUUAAAAAACAACAACCCUGCAGCACAUGUCAGCCUGGCGUUGGGCAAGUCUGCCACCUUUCUUUUAUUUCGAUGUGUAAUGGUUCACAUGAUUUGGAUGAGAAAAGGAGGGAUCAAACUUUAUAGACAAAACCCAGCUGUGUGAAAAACAGGAUUAAUGCCAGUGAUUGGGGAUGAUCAAAGAGAAACCUUACUUUUUCUCCCCCAGUACUCAUUCCACUAAAGGGCGAAUUGGCAGAGUUCGGCAUCCCUGGGGGGAAAGAGAAGUGCUAGAAUCAUGCAACGUGUGAGUGACGAUAAUUCCAAGAUCAAAACUUACACACUUAAUCUGCUAACUCUUAUGGUGAGGGUUUCUUGCCAUAGAUGCUAUGUGGGUCUGUUUCUAAGUAGAAUCACUAUAUUACCCCAGUUAAUAAAGAAACAUGGAUUUAGCAGAUUUAAGGUUAAUAUUGUUUAAAUUUAAAUAACCUUAAAAUAAAUCUCUUUCUCUUCUA
RNAcentral lists this long non-coding RNA (2343 nucleotides) under Homo sapiens (human). RNAcentral's name for it is "non-protein coding lnc-DDX31-2:1". Lineage: Eukaryota; Metazoa; Chordata; Mammalia; Primates; Hominidae. The record is from RNAcentral.